This 392-nucleotide unclassified non-coding RNA is filed under the name soil metagenome. RNAcentral's name for it is "partial contains 5.8S ribosomal RNA, internal transcribed spacer 2, and large subunit ribosomal RNA". The stretch from base 1 to 122 matches the Rfam family "5.8S ribosomal RNA", at positions 35 to 154 of the family's 154-position model. The record is from RNAcentral.
GAUGAAGAACGUAGCGAAAUGCGAUACUUGGUGUGAAUUGCAGAAUCCCGUGAACCAUCGAGUUUUUGAACGCAAGUUGCGCCCGAAGCCAUUAGGCCGAGGGCACGCCUGCCUGGGCGUCACACGUCGUUGCCCCCCCCAUCUACUCCUUCGGGAUUGCGGGGGGCGGAUGAUGGCCUCCCGUGCGCCUCGCCGCGCGGUUGGCAUAAAUGCCAAGUCCUCGGCGACGCACGCCACGACAAUCGGUGGUUGCGAAACCUCGGUUGCCCGUCGUGUGCGGUCGUCGCGCAUCGAGGGCUCGAAAAAAUUGCCGAGUUCCGGCUCGGCUUUCAACGCGACCCCAGGUCAGGCGGGGUUACCCGCUGAAUUUAAGCAUAUCAAUAAGCGGAGGA